This 496-nucleotide ribosomal RNA is filed under the name uncultured bacterium. Its description in RNAcentral is "partial 16S ribosomal RNA". It matches the Rfam family "Bacterial small subunit ribosomal RNA", at positions 28 to 506 of the family's 1533-position model. The record is from RNAcentral.
GAUGAACGCUGGCGGCGUGCCUAAUACAUGCAAGUCGAGCGAACAGACGAGGAGCUUGCUCCUCUGACGUUAGCGGCGGACGGGUGAGUAACACGUGGAUAACCUACCUAUAAGACUGGGAUAACUUCGGGAAACCGGAGCUAAUACCGGAUAAUAUAUUGAACCGCAUGGUUCAAUAGUGAAAGACGGUUUUGCUGUCACUUAUAGAUGGAUCCGCGCCGCAUUAGCUAGUUGGUAAGGUAACGGCUUACCAAGGCAACGAUGCGUAGCCGACCUGAGAGGGGGAGCGGCCCAAGGGGAACCGGGACACGGUCUAGCCACCUGCGGGAGGCACCGGUAGGGAAUGUUGCGGAGGGUGAGAAAGCGUGACGGACAAUGCCCGGGAGAGUAGUGAAGGACUUGUUUCGGUAAAAGUCUUUUUUUGGGAAUGAAAAAAUUUGUAAUGAACAUACGUUGCAUGAGCGGUACUUACUAAGAAAGCCCGGGGUAAUUCCAC